GUCCUAGCCGUAAACGAUGAGCACUAGGUGUUGGGGGUUACUUUCAGCGCCGUAAGAUAACUCGUUAAGUGCUCCACCUGGGGACUACGACCGCAAGGUUAAAACUCAAAGGAAUUGACGGGGCCCGCACAAGCGGUGGAACAUGUGGUUCAAUUCGACGCUACGCGAAGAACCUCACCAGGGCUUGACAUGCAGGAAGUAGUGAACUGAAAAGGGACUACCUGUCAAGUCAGGAGCCUGCACAGGUGCUGCAUGGCUGUCGU
RNAcentral lists this ribosomal RNA (263 nucleotides) under uncultured bacterium. RNAcentral describes it as "partial 16S ribosomal RNA". It matches the Rfam family "Bacterial small subunit ribosomal RNA", at positions 793 to 1055 of the family's 1533-position model. The record is from RNAcentral.